Molecule: long non-coding RNA, 341 nt
Organism: Spodoptera litura
Lineage: Eukaryota; Metazoa; Arthropoda; Insecta; Lepidoptera; Noctuidae
Source: RefSeq, a predicted model, not a curated record
UUAGCCUUCGUGUACGUACUUUUGUGGUAAAUUAUUGUUUUAAAAUUGCGUCUGCUUCAAAAGGCGCGUUAUCGUUGGUUUAUGGGACAACAGAAACGAGUUAUCAACAUACGUUCUAGUCUAGACAAUUGCUGUGACAUUACACUGCACAUAAAAUUCAUAUUUAUUAAUUCUACAUAUUCAAUCUUUUUUCUUUUGGAAUAAAAUCUUGAAAUGGACCAGUUUUGGCGCGGUGUGGGCAAUAACUUUCACUCGAUUUCGGAGACAGAGCCGUAUUAUCCCUAAGGCGCCAGGAACAACGACGGCACCAAAAAUAUUAAGGAAGGCGCCCUUGUGCUAGG